GAUGAAGAACGUAGCGAAAUGCGAUAAGUAGUGUGAAUUGCAGAAUUCAGUGAAUCAUCGAAUCUUUGAACGCACAUUGCGCCCCUUGGUAUUCCAUGGGGCAUGCCUGUUCGAGCGUCAUUUGUACCUUCAAGCUUUGCUUGGUGUUGGGUGUUUGUCUCGCCUUUGCGUGUAGACUCGCCUUAAAAUAAUUGGCAGCCGGCGUAUUGAUUUCGGAGCGCAGUACAUCUCGCGCUUUGCACUCAUAACGACAGCGUCCAAAAGCACAUUUUACACUCUUGACCUCGGAUCAGGUAGGGAUACCCGCUGAACUUAAGCAUAUCAAUAAGCGGAGGA
Molecule: unclassified non-coding RNA, 336 nt
Filed under: soil metagenome
Description: partial contains 5.8S ribosomal RNA, internal transcribed spacer 2, and large subunit ribosomal RNA
Rfam family: 5.8S ribosomal RNA (bases 1-120)
Source: RNAcentral